UUGAACGCUGGCGGCAUGCUUUACACAUGCAAGUCGAACGGCAGCGGGGGCUUCGGCCUGCCGGCGAGUGGCGAACGGGUGAGUAAUGUAUCGGAACGUACCUUUCAGUGGGGGAUAACGUAGCGAAAGUUACGCUAAUACCGCAUAUUCUGUGAGCAGGAAAGCAGGGGAUCUUAGGACCUUGCGCUGAUUGAGCGGCCGAUAUCAGAUUAGCUAGUUGGUGAGGUAAAGGCUCACCAAGGCGACGAUCUGUAGCGGGCCUGAGAGGAUGAUCCGCCACACUGGAACUGAGACACGGUCCAGACUCCUACGGGAGGCAGCAGUGGGGAAUUUUGGACAAUGGGCGCAAGCCUGAUCCAGCCAUGCCGCGUGAGUGAAGAAGGCCUUCGGGUUGUAAAGCUCUUUCAGCCGGGAAGAAAACGCAUGGGUUAAUACCCUGUGUGGAUGACGGUACCGGAAUAAGAAGCACCGGCUAACUACGU
RNAcentral lists this ribosomal RNA (482 nucleotides) under uncultured bacterium. RNAcentral's name for it is "bacterial SSU rRNA". It matches the Rfam family "Bacterial small subunit ribosomal RNA", at positions 30 to 506 of the family's 1533-position model. The record is from RNAcentral.